UGGCUGAUGAGCUCAGCUGGUGGGAGCAUGGUGUUAAUGAGGCUGAGGUCGUGGGUUCAAUCCCCACCGGGCUAU
This 75-nucleotide transfer RNA is filed under the name Homo sapiens (human). Its description in RNAcentral is "tRNA-Ile-AAT-11-1". The record is from RNAcentral. Lineage: Eukaryota; Metazoa; Chordata; Mammalia; Primates; Hominidae.